AGGAACACUGGAGGAGCUUCACACGAUCCUCUCAUCUUCAGUUCCUGAGCAGAUCGGCCUGUUGUCUCCCAUCUCUGGGGUCGUCAUUGGAACUGCGUCUCACCACAGUGUGCAGUGCUCCAAACAGGCUCUGCCCAGAAUGGCUCCACAGAGCAGGGAUUGUGUUAACCUGAGGAGGACCACUCUCACACAGGGGUCUUAA
This is a long non-coding RNA of Cyprinus carpio (common carp), 202 nucleotides long. Lineage: Eukaryota; Metazoa; Chordata; Actinopteri; Cypriniformes; Cyprinidae. The record is from Ensembl.